AAUAAACGCUGGCGGCAGGCCUAACACAUGCAAGUCGAACGCCCCGCAAGGGGAGUGGCAGACGGGUGAGUAACACGUGGGAACCUUCCCUAUACUACGGAAUAGCCCAGGGAAACUUGGAGUAAUACCGUAUACGCCCGAGAGGGGAAAGAUUUAUCGGUAUAGGAUGGGCCCGCGUAGGAUUAGCUAGUUGGUGAGGUAAUGGCUCACCAAGGCGACGAUCCUUAGCUGGUCUGAGAGGACGACCAGCCACACUGGGACUGAGACACGGCCCAGACUCCUACGGGAGGCAGCAGUGGGGAAUAUUGGACAAUGGGCGCAAGCCUGAUCCAGCCAUGCCGCGUGAGUGAUGAAGGCCUUAGGGUUGUAAAGCUCUUUUGCCGGGGACGAUAAUGACGGUACCCGGAGAAUAAGUCCCGGCUAACUUCGUGCCAGCCGCCGCAGUAA
This 447-nucleotide ribosomal RNA is filed under the name uncultured bacterium. RNAcentral describes it as "partial 16S ribosomal RNA". It matches the Rfam family "Bacterial small subunit ribosomal RNA", at positions 29 to 523 of the family's 1533-position model. The record is from RNAcentral.